Molecule: small RNA, 100 nt
Filed under: Camellia sinensis
Lineage: Eukaryota; Viridiplantae; Streptophyta; Magnoliopsida; Ericales; Theaceae
Description: transcribed RNA
Source: RNAcentral
UUUCCAUUCAUAGAGAGAUCCAAUCGUCAAAAUCAAUAAAAAGGCCAUCAUGGACCAAGAUCCAAACGGAUCAAUCUUGUUGGGAGGUACUGCCCAAGGA